CUGGACCUCAGCUCAGGCGUGACUACCCGCUGAAUUUAAGCAUAUCAAUAAGCGGAGGAAAAGAAACCAACAGGGAUUCCCCCAGUAACGGCGAGCGAAGCGGGAAUAGCUCGAGCCUUAAAUCUCCGGCGAGCAGCCGGCGAAUUGUAGCCGAGAGAGGCACCUACGCUCGGCAGGCGGUCGGCCAAAGUUG
RNAcentral lists this ribosomal RNA (193 nucleotides) under Spongilla lacustris. RNAcentral describes it as "partial 28S ribosomal RNA". It matches the Rfam family "Eukaryotic large subunit ribosomal RNA", at positions 1 to 188 of the family's 3401-position model. The record is from RNAcentral. Lineage: Eukaryota; Metazoa; Porifera; Demospongiae; Spongillida; Spongillidae.